RNAcentral lists this ribosomal RNA (214 nucleotides) under Escherichia coli. RNAcentral's name for it is "partial 16S ribosomal RNA". It matches the Rfam family "Bacterial small subunit ribosomal RNA", at positions 1 to 215 of the family's 1533-position model. The record is from RNAcentral. Lineage: Bacteria; Pseudomonadati; Pseudomonadota; Gammaproteobacteria; Enterobacterales; Enterobacteriaceae.
AUUGAAGAGUUUGAUCAUGGCUCAGAUUGAACGCUGGCGGCAGGCCUAACACAUGCAAGUCGAACGGUAACAGGAAGAAGCUUGCUUCUUUGCUGACGAGUGGCGGACGGGUGAGUAAUGUCUGGGAAACUGCCUGGUGGAGGGGGAUAACUACUGGAAACGGUAGCUAAUACCGCAUAACGUCGCAAGACCAAAGAGGGGGACCUUCGGGCCU